Non-coding RNA from Pogona vitticeps (central bearded dragon), 490 nucleotides. The record is from RefSeq and is a predicted model, not a curated record. Lineage: Eukaryota; Metazoa; Chordata; Lepidosauria; Squamata; Agamidae.
AAGAAGGCAGGAGAAGUUCCAGCAGAGAGAAGGGAGAGUUAAGAUGGAAGACGGCUGAAAGACACAGAAGGGACCUUUUUCCUUUUAUUGGAUUUUAAAAGAGGACUUUACCUAAUGGACUGAUGGAUUUUGGAUUUUCCAGAAGAUUGAUCCUCCAAGCGGUCAGAUGGAGGGACUCCAAGUCUGGGUGAAGAAUCGUGCCUGCAUCCCUCGAGAGCAAGUCCGGUACCAACGGAAGCCUGAGUACAUCCAUCGCCAUCUCUCUCAGGGCUGAGAACCACGGCUGACAUGGCCAAUACGGAGCUACAAGAAUAGCUGAGGAUCUGUGCUGAGUCAGCCUGACUAUUGACCGCUGGAUCAGAGGGAUCGGUGGGAAAAGGUGGACGAUGGACUCCAACGUGACCAUCCGGAACCAUUGAGGAUGAAGGUACUACGGCAGAUUGCUGAGAAGACCUGUUACUAGGUGCCCUGAAAGUCCGGUAAGCCUGAG